This 321-nucleotide ribosomal RNA is filed under the name Penicillium camemberti. RNAcentral's name for it is "eukaryotic LSU rRNA". It matches the Rfam family "Eukaryotic large subunit ribosomal RNA", at positions 331 to 670 of the family's 3401-position model. The record is from RNAcentral. RNAcentral also lists the same sequence under 1 other name. Lineage: Eukaryota; Fungi; Ascomycota; Eurotiomycetes; Eurotiales; Aspergillaceae.
AGACCGAUAGCGAACAAGUAGAGUGAUCGAAAGAUGAAAAGCACUUUGAAAAGAGAGUUAAAAAGCACGUGAAAUUGUUGAAAGGGAAGCGCUUGCGACCAGACUCGCUCGCGGGGUUCAGCCGGCAUUCGUGCCGGUGUAUUUCCCCGCGGGCGGGCCAGCGUCGGUUUGGGCGGUCGGUCAAAGGCCCUCGGAAGGUAACGCCCCUAGGGGCGUCUUAUAGCCGAGGGUGCAAUGCGACCUGCCUAGACCGAGGAACGCGCUUCGGCUCGGACGCUGGCAUAAUGGUCGUAAGCGACCCGUCUUGAAACACGGACCAAG